This is a long non-coding RNA of Syngnathus typhle (broad-nosed pipefish), 2252 nucleotides long. RefSeq lists it as uncharacterized. Lineage: Eukaryota; Metazoa; Chordata; Actinopteri; Syngnathiformes; Syngnathidae. The record is from RefSeq and is a predicted model, not a curated record. The transcript is spliced from 2 exons.
GGGGGAACUUGUUUUUUUGUUGCGUGCUUGUUUAGGGACACAAUUAGGUGACGCACUCCCUGCUGCAGCAGGAGACAGGAGCUUCUCUUGAGAAGACAUCGAGCGGCUGUGUUUUGUCGGGUGACUUACGGCUGGCAGAGUUUGACCAGAUCCUGGUCUGCGGUUCCGGGGUGAAGGCCACGGAUGUACAGGUUGGUUUUGCUCAGCUGCUCCCCGCCAUGAUGGCCACCGUUGGGGCUCGGAGGCGGAGCCAUCUGAUGGAUGGAGGGAGACGUGUACGUCUGCUGCAAAAGAAAUUGAGCCAUUUAGCCGCUGCCCUUGAUGGCACCUCCCUCGCUCAUGCACUACUUUGCUUCCAGAGGUCAAGGUUAGCUUAGCAUCUGCUGCCGACACAUCGUGAGCAAGUCUGUGACCUGAAAUCUGGUGGCAAAUGUUGACCUUCAACAAAAGUUAGAUAUAGUCUGAGGCUCAAAGCACAAUGUGGGAAAAAAAAAAAAGCCCUGGCGUCCGGUUUUGAAGUUCUCUUGAGAAACAAAGCAGCAGCAAGGGGGAAGUUAAUAGAAAGCAGAAGAAAGGUGGCGGGGGGGGGGGGGGGGUCCUUUAAUCCUCUAGCUCUCUCCUCAGCGUCAAAGACACAAACCAGGUGUUGGAUUUAGACAAUGUUACAUGUGUCCAAAUCAAGUGGAAGAUGCUCUCCUCAAGUCAGAACAUUGUCCAAAUCCAGAAUUCCACAAAUUCCAGCUCAAUGUGGAUUCCAGCCAUAAUGAUUUCAGCAUUGUUCAAGCCUUCCAAGCCACCGGGGUGAAUAUUUGCAUAAAUUCAGUCACAGCUCGGGCUUGAAGCAAAGACGUGACGUGCUUGUUCCAUUGCAUACGCAAUUGUUGAGUUUGCUCCAAAAAUCCAUGCAGCUGUCUGGAGAUCCAUAAAGCGCAUAAAGCAAAGGGAUCCCGUGCUAUACGAACAUCUGCUGAUGUAGAUUAAAAAUACAUAACAGUGUCAAUCAUGGCUAAGUUGCUCUUAGUCCGCCUGCGAUCGAUCUGGCCCACGUAAGGUGACUUGCGUUGGUGGAGAACUUUUUUUUUUCUUCUGCAGGCUGCCCCUCUCGGUUGAAAGAAGGAAGGAAGGGGUGGGGCAUGUCGCUCGUCGUCAAAGCGCAACUUUGCCAACUUGGCACGAGAAAUUGAAUGAAAACAAGCAUGGUUGGAAUAGAAAAGGCAUGAGAAGAACUGUGAGGUGGCCCGGAUGAGCACACGGUUGCUAUUGUUGUGCACAAAAGCCAAGACGGAGAAGGGUGAGCACAAACGAAAAGAGCCAUAGGAGCAACCCUCACGACAUCCAUCUCCCACGGUAGUUGCGCAAUUUACCGCGGCGCGCAAAAUGUAUCACGCGUAGCCGGGCGUGUGCGUGAAAGUCGGCUCGCCCGCGUCUGCGCUUGACUUCGCUCAAGGACACUGCGGCUGGGAACGCAAUGUCGAACCGGGGGCGCGGCAAAGUUUACCUUCUUGAUGCCUUUGCUCCCGUAGCCGUUGUACGCGUUCACCCCUACGGAGAGCAGCAUUUUGACGCGGCGGCGGCGGCGGUGGAGCAGCUGACGUCAGCCGCCGGGGAAGCCAGGAGCGCCGCUGCAGAUGCUUGGAGUCGCCUCGCCUCGUUCUUUUGCCGGCAAUCGGACGCACGACGCAGGUUGGGAUCGCUCUCACAAUGCUGCGUGCGCAGGACAUCCCCCAGCCCUCCCCGUCCCAGCCCAGCCCAGCCCAGCCCAGUCUCCACAAAACACCCAAUACAUACUCUGGAUGUGGGUCAUUUCAUAGUUGGACUUUUUCCUGUGUUCCCCAAAGCAAAUUUCCAAAAAGCAAUUUACAAGACAGAAAAAAACAUGGGGUAGAAAUUCUUCUUUUGCAAUUGAAGAAGAAGGAAAAGUCAUCCUUAAAUAUGAUUUAGAAUACCAAACAUUUUUUUUUCUUAUCCCGCGUGCUUACAUCAAAUCUUGUCCACCCAUGUCCAUAUUGUGAUCAAAGUUGGUUUUGGUGCCGGUCCUGUCAAUCUGGUUAGCUGACCAAGUUCAUUUUGAAGCCCUCCAGUGAGUAAACGUGCAACUGCUGAUUAGGCCAUCCCGCGUGUCAAUGGAGCGAUCAUUUGCACGAUGAUGCAGCAAUGCUUCAAAGACGAAACUUCCAUGCUUUUGCAUAAAAAUGAUGUGAUUCUGCAGGGCACGAGAAUAGGCGCCAUUUCCACAGCAGCGAUUAUUGAAA